UACGUAGGGAGCAAGCGUUGUUCGGAUUUACUGGGCGUAAAGGGCGCGUAGGCGGCAAAUUAAGUCAGCUGUGAAAUCUCCGAGCUUAACUCGGAACGGUCAGCUGAUACUGAUCUGCUAGAGUGCGGAAGGGGCAAUCGGAAUUCUUGGUGUAGCGGUGAAAUGCGUAGAUAUCAAGAGGAACACCUGCGGCGAAGGCGGGUUGCUGGGCCGACACUGACGCUGAAGCGCGAAAGCCAGGGGAGCGGACGGG
RNAcentral lists this ribosomal RNA (253 nucleotides) under uncultured bacterium. Its description in RNAcentral is "partial 16S ribosomal RNA". It matches the Rfam family "Bacterial small subunit ribosomal RNA", at positions 524 to 776 of the family's 1533-position model. The record is from RNAcentral.